Molecule: RNA transcript, 8005 nt
Organism: Oncorhynchus tshawytscha (Chinook salmon)
Lineage: Eukaryota; Metazoa; Chordata; Actinopteri; Salmoniformes; Salmonidae
Exons: 8
Source: RefSeq, a predicted model, not a curated record
CUUGUCCUUCAAACAAGGAGGUGAUUGAAAAUGUUGUUGUGUUGUUUGAUGCAAGAAACCACUUGCAUCAUUAUUCCCAUACCAUUAUUCCAGAGAAUGACACAAAUUAUGCUACCCUCUGGCUUUGGCUACUUAGUGUAUUCAAGGCUGAAAUGCACACGUUUUGUGUUCUUGUAGGAAGCAAUCACCCCCCAUUUCUGACUACAAAUUAUCAAUAACUGGGCUAAUAACUCACUAACUAGUGAACAAAUGUACAAAUGUGCACAAGUCGCUACAUAUAGUUCUUGCUUUGAUCUACUCACAACCGCUCAUGCUGUAAAAGCAGUCCAGUUCAAAGUGAAUGGCACAGAUCUAUAUAUGACAAUGGUCUAUUUGUAUAUAGGCCUACUGCAGCUCUGAUUGGUUAUGGCACACUGGUCUGUGUAGAGUACAAGUCUGCCUGUCAAUGCAAUAGAAUCCUACUCUGAUGCGUUCUGCCUACAACAAAAUCUUUUAUAUAUUUAGUUUUGCAUAGUAAGUAUUGCACUGUUUGUUUUGUUUUGGUAUGUUGUAUUGAAAGUGGCUGAUAUUGCGUUCAUUCGAUCACAAUUCCCACAGUAAAGGGAAACACUGAUAGUGUUAACUAACUGGGAAAACUCUAGAAAGUUGAGUAAAGUUCAGACUCGCACAGGGCUGAUAUUUCUUCUGCUUAUCAGUCCCGGGGAGCUGCACAUGCGCAGUUUAGAGGGAACAUUGUUCACGAGUGUACACAGCACUUUUUCAAAAAGAUGAAGUGAAACUAAUUUCGCCUCUGAGGUUUCGCAAGACUGUACAGUGCAAUAAAACAUGUUUCAUUUGACCAAAGAUUUGUUGAUCAUCAGGUUUCAAUGGAUACUGCUGUGCCUGCCACUGUCCUCCCUGGGCUUUCAUUCUGCUACAAUGUGUAUGAGAAGAAAUGUUAUGCUAAAUAGUACAUUACUUUUGACUAGAAGGAAUAGGGUGCCAUUUUGAAGUCAUCCUUUGAUUUGACUUUGUGUAAUAUCUGGAACUUAUUGUAACAUUAAACCAACCUUGUUACCAACAGCCAGCCUGUUGCUUCAACAGUGCUACCGCAGCAGUUUCUUUUGUUUUGUCCUUCCUCUUUAUGCUGCUGGAAAAUGCAGAUCUAUGUCUAUGUCUUGCCCAGGCCCGCCUCCAUGAAGUCAGUUUAAUGGAACGCAACAGUAAACAUGAAAAACGAUGGACUAGAGUCAAUUAUUAAUCAGAGAGAAUUGGUAUCAGUUUCAAGGUAACGUAAACAUCUUCACCUGCUGGUUGAUCGUGAUCAUUUUGGAGAAACAUUGCAAAACAUUUUGUGUUCUGCAAGGGGCAGCAAUUGUCUUAUAUUUAUAUAGUGAUCGUUUCAGUUCACAUUUUACUGCUAUCAUGUUGCUGGUGAUGGCGUUACAUAUUGACUGAGAAAUCUGUUGCUGUAUUGAGGUAACUUGAGGUGAAUGCCGUCCACAGCAAGACUACACCUCCCACAAUUCCUUCCAACCCUUCUACAGUAUCUGUUCCUUCUUGCUUAAGUGCAAACUUGGCAGUUGGCACUGUAGAUACAGAUAUGAUUGACCUAUCUCUAUGCCAGCCUGCAUGGAACUAGUCAGGGCUCUUUGAUCUUUUUUGUUGUUGGUGAUUUUUGCUCAGCUCUACUAUGUACCGUACCCCAUAUGUACCGUACCCCAUAUGUACCUCUUGAGAUGUUUGUGUGUAAAGUUAUGACUAUUUGCCAAUUCUAACAAAAUGAAGACAUGUUAUUUCGUAGUGUAAGAGGCCAAGAUGAGAGAGGACUCCUGUCUGUAUAUGAAGUGAUUGUCAAGUGAUUUGAUAAUAGGUACAAAAAAAAGACAAUAUAAUAUUGUAAUAAAACUAUAAUCUAUUAAUGCAUUAACCUCACUUGUAGGCUAUUUAUUGUUCAUCAGCAUCGCUUUUGGUUUAAUGAUGAUCUUUUUUAUUUAAUUUGUUUUAAGCUAAAUUGUAAUAGUAGGUUUUGUGUCCAUUUUGACAGGAGCUCGAAGGCAGUCCUGUAUGUCCUUCAAUAUUCAGUAUAUGUCAUUUUAAUUUGUCACUUUGAGUUUAUGGUUUCCCAUCUUUCCUAGACAGUUCACAGAAGUCACUGUAAAAGCAAUACAAUACAUGUCUGCUUGAGGCCUAUGUACCUUACCCCAUAUGUACCUUACCCCAUAUGUACCUUACCCCAUAUGUAACUUACCCCAUAUGUACCGUACUCCAUAUGUACCUCACCCCAUAUGUAACUUACCCCAUAUGUACCGUACUCCAUAUGUACCUUACCCCAUAUGUACCUUACCCCAUAUGUAACUUACCCCAUAUGUACCUCACCCCAUAUGUACCUCACCCCAUAUGUACCUUACCCCAUAUGUACCUCACCCCAUAUGUACCUUACCCCAUAUGUACCUUACCCCAUAUGUACCGUACCCAUAUGUACCUCACCCCAUAUGUACCUCGCCCCAUAUGUACCUUUCCCCAUAUGUACCUCACUCCAUAGGUACCUCACCCCAUAUGUACCUUACCCCAUAUGUACCUUACCCCAUAUGUACCGUACCCCAUAUGUACCGUACCCCAUAUUUACCGUACCCCAUAUGUACCUUACCCCAUAUGUACCUUACCCUAUUUUGUAUGUUUUUAUAUGUGACUUUGUUUAUUAUUAAUGAUAUCAUUGAGAUUAAAGCUUUUUUACUUUGUCCAGAUAAAACAUGUAAAAUGCAGAAUAUUGUGUGAUAUUUCUGGGUAUAUUUCGCACUGUGAAAUUCCUGUUCAAAUGGCGCACCUUGAUACUGUUCAUUAAACACAGGGCAGUGAGAAAGAUGUUACACGGAAGGUUUUGUAAAUAUUUUCAAUUGUUGUUUUUAAAUACUACAAUCUUUAAACAAAUGAAAAUCAUAAUUGAUGGGGAGGCUAAUCUGCAUUCUUUCAUGUUCUAAGAUGUAAACUGUUUUCAUAAGUUUUAAGGAACCAAAAGCUGUAAACCCAUUGUGAGGAAAAUGUAUGAAAUUACUGCACAAAGAAGGAAAAUAAUCUUCAUCAUUAUUUAUUAUAUAAGUAGUUACAGUACCUGAAGACUGUAUUUUUUUGCCCAGCGACAGUUCAUUAGUACACAGUAGCAAAACAAUUCCCAAUCGGCUUUCAUUUGGUCCCUUGUGAAUACAACCCUGGAUUGAUUGAACUGAAGUUAGACAUGUGACACUGAACAGAAGCAACAUGUCCACUAGAGGGAAUUUUCUCCUCUCAUUCAAAUUCUGAUGCAAAGCGUGAGAAGAGCUAUGAGCUGAGUUUGAUUAACAUUGAGAAAAAUCAACGUCUGGAAGGUGAAUAACAUGAACACAACAUGAUGUAACUUUGAUAUGCUUUUUUAACAUGCCUGUUGUAAUGUGAAUGCAGUGAAGUUCAUUUACAGUUGGAUAUGUUGUUGUGGUUCUAUAACAAUACAAUCCAUCUAAACUCUCCACUCUACUCUCAACUCUAAACUUACCAUAUUUUUUGACUAACACAAUAAACCAUUGCAAUUAUAAUAACAUAUAUAUAUAGCAUUGGAUUCGAUUAAGAAUUCUAAAUUAGACUGCAGUAAUACAUGAAGGUGUGGUUGACUGUGAGGGACUGUGAUGUCAGAUGUAUCCUAUUUCCUGUUCUUUAUAAGUAGAUGUCAGACAGAGACAGACAGCAGUACACAGCCAGCUGUGGUGAUAUGAUGUCACUGCUGAGGAGUUUGCUCUUGUUCUACUUCUCAUUCAAUGAAUUGACCACAGUAGCAGGAAUCCAAAGAUGACUUCAGCUACCAGUUUUCUGUUUUUUGCGAUCCAUUUAGGCUGUAUCAGAGCUGGAAAAUCUUCUGAGACAUUUGUCAAACUGGAGUGUGAAGAAGAAUACCAUGGGGUUUAUGGUCAGCAGUCAUUGCUGGAGUGUAAUGUCAAAGCUGUUCAGAACGUGACCAUCUUGACAGUGACCUGGAAGAGGGUGGGAGGUGAUGCACCUUUGUUGGAAUACCAUAAACAUGUAAAUGCCUCAACCCUUGGGUUUAAAUUUGCUGAGCCAUCCUGGAACAAGGAUAAUAUGAAUGUGUCCUUGUUGUUGACAAAUACCAAGAUGGCCGACAAGGGGGAGUAUGAAUGCAUGGUGAGAACAGACAGUGGUGAUGCUACAGCUACAGUCAGCCUCAGUGUCACAGCUAUGUACAAAUCACCAACCAUGAGUUCCAGUCCUGAGAACUGCAUAAAACAGAACACAGAUGUGACCAUUUUCUGCAACUCUACAGGCGGGCACCAGAAAGGUUUGAUCUGGUGGUUUGACGAGUUUGGCACGAACUGCACAGGCAGUGCUGAACUCGUGGCCAAAAAGACAGACGACACACUGUUUAGCCUCUCCAGUAAACUGACAGUUCUGAAGGCUACAUACAGUGGUUCCACAAACUACUCAUGCACAGUGCACAACACCAAUGGAGUCCAGGAGGGGAAGGCAUCAUUUGAGAUCCCGUUUGUAUGUUCAGCAGGUUCAAAAGAUGAUUUUGCUUCUGACUCCACUACCCAGUGGCUUGCCCCAGUUGGGUUCAUAGGAUCUCUGGUCAUUGGACUCCUUGCUGCGCUGCUGAUAUUUAAGAGGCGCUCUGUCCAACGGGCUCGAAGGCAGUCCACCUUCCCAUUAAUGACCGAUCUAUGGUCGAGCAGAACGUCAGAGCCAUACCUAAAUUUGACAGUCCACUACAUAAAUGAAGACUGGACAUUGUAAAACGUCUGCCUACAGACGUCUUACAUCCCCGAUGAUCAUACGGGUGAAUUAAUAGCCCAGGAUCUCAAAGACUCUGGCAUUGUGGAAGAUGGGUGAAGACCAACAGGUGUGCAUGACAACUGACAGCGGGAGCAACAUGAUAAAAGCAUUGCCCUUGAACAACUGGACCCGCCUACAGUGCUUUGGGCACAGGCUUCACCUCGCCAUCGGUAAGUGUGACAUUGGAUAAUUAAAGUGCAUUCAAAAAAGUUAUGUUCAGGCCAACUGUAGGCUAAUGUGUUAGUAGUUGUCAUUCUGCCAAUCCAAUAGCAAAUAACCACAGGCUGUUUUAAUUAUAACAGCAAAUUAACUAAAUUAAUGCAUUUUCAAUCAAAAUGAUUAUAUAAAUGACAUAUUCAAACAGCGAGCGGUCAAACAUUCCUAAACGAUAGAAUAGACGUGUGGAUGUGUGUUCAUUUGUUUUGCACAAAUAGGCCUUGAGGCCUUGUAUAUUUUUUUAUUUUAAUAAAGAAAAUUCUGUUUAGAAUUAAGUCUUGUCCUUUUUUAAUUUGUUUAUAGAAAAACAAGAAAUCGAGGUGUGUAUAUAUAUAUAUAUAUAUAUAUAUAUAAAUCUCUCUUGAAUCGUCCAAACCUCUGGGGGGGAUGAAAUGGAGCUAUUACUUUUAGGCCAUAUCGCCCAACCCUACUUGCAAGUCGCUUGACUAACUUAAAAAAAAAAUUCUGCCCUACUGUUAUUUUCACUGAGGCAAUGCUCCUCUGGAGAUUGAAACGUUACAUGACAUUCGUCCACCAUAUGUCACAGAUCAGCUUCUGACUUGUCCUUGUCGGUUAUAGGUCACAAUGGCCACCCAAAUGACAGGCACCACGAUGAUGAGGCAGAAGGAAACGCUAUCCUUACUGUCUAAAUAGUGACAGUACCCAGGACCAGCAUUCCAGUCUUUAGUAACUGAUUCGUUAACUGGCAGUCUCUGGAAAGGGACUGUUUCCUUGACGAUCAAUAAGGGGCUUGUCACUAUCCUUUGAUGGACUGUUUCCUGUUAAGUGUCCAAUGACAGUCACUUUGGCACUCGGGUCAUUCUAAUUGAGGCAUUUGUUUCUUCACAAUCUACUGCUGAUGGCAGCCUUUAAAGUCUGUGGUUGAUUACAAAUGAUAUGUUUCUAUACAGGGUUGCCAUGGUGUCACUACACUCUCGAUUCUACCACUGUAGAACAUUGGUAUACUGUAAUACCAGGUAAUCUAAUCACUGUACACACUAUACUACAAGAUGCAUGGUUUAACAUUCCACAUUUCCUCUACUGUAGAUUCUACCAUAUUGGUUGUUAUUAUUAUACUGGAACACCAUACACUAAUGUUACAUGCCGUUCUAUACCAAGGUUGUGCGAACAUUCAAUUUCAACACAGCACUUUUCUGAAAACAUGUAGUAAAACUGGUUACACUUCUGAAAGAGGGUUUCACAAGACUGCACAACAACCACUCUUAUAACCAAAAGCCAGCCGGUUGCUCCUACCACAGAUUUAGUUUUAGGCCUUCCUUUUUCCUUGUCUUGCUCGAUCUGCUAGUGUAAAAUGCAGAUGUAUAUCUUGCUCAGAGCGCAACGUCCAGGAAAUGCAAUGGAAUGAAACUGUAAACAUGUUGAUCAUCAGGUUUCAAGAGAUACUCCUGCAUCUGCCAGUAUUCUCCCUGGGCUUUGAUUCUGCUACAAUAUCUCUGGGGAGAAUAUGAGAAUGUGGCACCCAAUUCCCUAUAUAGUGCACUACUUUUGACCAGAGGGAAUAUGGUGCCAUUUGGAAUGCAAACUUUGACUUGACUUUGUGUUUUAUCAUUUUUGUCACUGAAUGUAACAUAUAACCAUUAUCAGAAGUCAGUCUGUCACUCCUCCCACAGCUGUUUGUUUUUGGCCUUCCUCUUUCUCCUUUCUUGUCUGGCGCCAUCUGUUGGUGUAAAAUUCAGAUCUACAUUUAUAUCUUGCCCAGGGCUCGCCUCCAUGAAGGCAGUGCAAUGGAACGCAACUGUAAACCUGAAAAACGAGAGUCGAUUAGUAAUCUGAGAGAAUUAGUAAUCAGUUUCAAGUUGAACAUGUAAAUAUUUACCUGGUGGUUGAUUAUGAUACUUUUGUAAAUGCCACAAUUGUUUUAUGUUAUGAAAGAGGCUGCUACUGUAUUAAUAUUGUAGUUAUAGAAUGACUGUUUCAGUUCCCAUUAUGUUUUACUGCUAUCAUGUUGCUGAUGGCAUUACGUAUAGACUGACUAAUCUGUUGUAUUGUGGCAGCUUGAGGUGAAUGGUGUCCACGACAAGACUCCACCUCCCAUAAUUCCUGGCAAAUCUUGUAUCAGUUCCUUCUUACUUCAGUACAUGAUUGGAAGUUGGCACUAUAGAUACAGCUAGAAUGAUUCAUCAAUUUAUAUGCUACCCUGCUUGGCACUGGUCAGGGCUCUUCCAAAGAAGCUUGGGCUUUUGGUUUAGCUCGACUAUAGUGGUUUGAGAUGUUCAUGUGUAAAGUUUUGUUUAUUUUGCAGUUCAACAAAAUGUUUUCUUCUCUGUAUGAAGUGUCUAUCAAGCGAUUUGUUGAUGUGCCUGCUUGAGGCCUAUUCCACUUACGAUUUUGUUGUCCCCUGUUUUUUUUGUAUAUUUCACACUUUGAAAUUCCUUUUCAAAUCCCACACCUUGACACUGUUCAGGUUUUGUAAAUAGGAUGAAGAUUUUAAUUGUAGUUCUUAAUUACUACAAUCUUUUUUUUUUAAUGAAAAUCAUAAUUGAUGGGGAGGCUAAUCUGAAAUGUUCUUAUGUUCUAAGGUCUAAACUGUUUUAAUAUGUUAUAAGGAACCAAAAGCAGUAAACCACUGUGAGAAAAAUGUAUAUAAUUACUGCACAAAGAUUUUUGAUUUUUUUUUAUCCAUCAUUAUGCAUUAUAUAAGUAAUUACAGCACCUAAAGACAAUUUUCUUUUUGCCCAGCGACAGUACAUCGUUGCAUUCAUUAGUGCACACCGUAACAAAACAAUUUGCAACGGAAAACAAAUGUUUCUUAUUGGACAAGUUCAGGUGGUCCCCCCCACAUUUUGGUCAAUCUAUCAUUUCAUUCCUUGUGAAUACAACCCUGGUUUGAUUGAAUCCAGAGAUGUGACACUGAACAGAAGACAACUUGUCCAUUAGAUCAGGGUUCCCCAAAUGGCGGCCCACGGGCCGGUGGUUUUAUUUUGCCCCCCAAAAAUAUAGUUAUAUUUUUUACUACUUUUACUCAACUACA